Molecule: ribosomal RNA, 45 nt
Filed under: Ceratobasidium sp. DH-C1
Lineage: Eukaryota; Fungi; Basidiomycota; Agaricomycetes; Cantharellales; Ceratobasidiaceae
Description: partial 18S ribosomal RNA
Source: RNAcentral
CUUUUCAUGUUUCAGUAGGUGACCUGCGGAAGGAUCAUUAUUGAA